UACGAAGGGGGCUAGCGUUGUUCGGAAUUACUGGGCGUAAAGCGCGCGCAGGCGGUCCUUUAAGUCAGGGGUGAAAGCCCAGAGCUCAACUCUGGAACUGCCUUUGAAACUAGAGGACUUGGGUACGGGAGAGGUGAGUGGAAUUCCGAGUGUAGAGGUGAAAUUCGUAGAUAUUGGGAAGAACACCGAUGGCGAAGGCAGCCAUCUGGACCGACACUGACGCUGAGGCGCGAAAGCGUGGGGAGCAAACAGG
RNAcentral lists this ribosomal RNA (253 nucleotides) under uncultured bacterium. RNAcentral describes it as "partial 16S ribosomal RNA". It matches the Rfam family "Bacterial small subunit ribosomal RNA", at positions 524 to 776 of the family's 1533-position model. The record is from RNAcentral.